GAUGAACGCUGGCGGCGUGCUUAACACAUGCAAGUCGAACGGAAAGGCCCAAGCUUUCUUGGGUACUCGAUUGGCGAACGGGUGAGUAACACGUGGGGGAUCUGCCCUGCACUUCGGGAUAAGCCUGGGAAACUGGGGCUAAUACCGGAUAGGACGUUGGUUUGGAUGUCAUUGUGGAAAGUUUUUUCGGUGUGGGAUGAGCUCGCGGCCUAUCUGCUUGUUGGUGGGGUAAUGGCCUACCAAGGCGUCGACGGGUAGCCGGCCUGAGUGGGUGUACGGCCACAUUGGAACUGGGAUAGGGCCCAGAGUCAGACGGGUGGCGGAAGGGGGGAAUAUUGCACAAUGGGCGCAAGCGUGAGGCAGCGACGCCGCGGGGGGGAUGACGGCCUUCGGGUUGGAAACUCCUUCCGCUAGGGACGAAGCGUUUUUGUGACGGUACCUGAGGAAGAAGCACCGGCUAACUACGUG
Molecule: ribosomal RNA, 468 nt
Filed under: uncultured bacterium
Lineage: Bacteria
Description: partial 16S ribosomal RNA
Rfam family: Bacterial small subunit ribosomal RNA
Source: RNAcentral